RNAcentral lists this ribosomal RNA (530 nucleotides) under Quernaspis quercus. RNAcentral describes it as "eukaryotic LSU rRNA". The record is from RNAcentral. Lineage: Eukaryota; Metazoa; Arthropoda; Insecta; Hemiptera; Diaspididae.
AUCUGGACGGCGGAAUUCAGGAUGGUCGGCAGGCCUCGUGCUUGUCCGGCCGUUUGAUAUUUCCGUCGUCGUGUCAGACGUCGCGACCUGUUCGUCGUCGGUCCUUGCUCGGAGGAAUCGCGAUCGAGUUCGUUGCGGACGCGUUUCGGCGUGUUCCGCGGCGAAGACGCGGCUCUCUGGCUGACGACGGACAGUAGGCAAUGGUGUCCGGCGUCGUGUCUCGCACUCGACGUCGGUGCCGGUCAGCGACGAUUUCUUCGGACCUCUUUCCGACCCGUCUUGAAACACGGACCAAGGAGUCUAACAUGCGCGCGAGUCGCGGGGUUUCGAGCGUACCACGGUGCGCUCGUAAUCUCCGAAACCCGUACGUUGAAGGCGUAAUGAAAGUGAACAGGGAAGAUGGCGUUCCGAGUCCACGUACCGUGAUCGAGUAUCGCGGCCGGACGUCCGCACUCCCGGGGCGUCUCAAUGGUUCGACGCGGAUGCGGACGGUCGUCUUUCGGGGCGGCCGUCGGUCUGCGCCGGUCCGA